GACACUAGAUGGCAGUGUAAUGCUGCACUCUUCCUGACCCAAAGCAUCAUCUCAAGGCUGUGGUGUUUUGAAACAUAAAUAACCAGUCUCUCUCUCCCUCCUGCAGUACCUGGGCCAAGCUGCAGAAGUUCUCAGCGCCCCUUUGAGAUGAUGGAUCAACCCUUGAUUUUGCUGCCACGGUGAACAGAGGAUGGAGACGGUGAUUUGAGGAGAGCGACUCAGUGCAGCUGCGUCUGCUGAAAGGAGAGGGGAGGGCCGGAGCAAUGGAGUGGAAAGAAUUGAAAAGGCUCGGCGGGGGGACGGCACAUACCUUUAAGCCCCCCCCCCCCCCACCUCCCCUCACUCACUCAAGCCUCUUUCAGCGUCGGUGACCACUCUGAGGCGUCAACAGAGCCAAGACAAAGUGUCGGUGUGUUUGGGGGUAAACACCACGGGAUCCCGCAGCUCUGAAGAUGGCCCGGACGAUAGGGCGUUUGGCAUCGCGCCGCCCUCCACCCAAAGCGGGGACGUCUGGCGGUGUGACACGGUGGAAACGACCCGACAGCUGCAGCUCACGCGGACAGAUAAGAUGACAGGGGGCCCAUUCUCAUGCCGAGACAUGAGAGGAGUGCAUGACGCAUCAAAGUGGACGGCACGGCAUGAAAAAGGCAGACUGGAAACUGGAACACGAGUAAGAUGAAGAAACCAGAUGCAUGGUCCAAACAAGAAGACAUGAGCCAGGCUCGGAAUCCAGGACCUCCAGACUAUGAGCCGAACGGGAUGUCAGCGCCAUCCUGACUCCCAUCGAUUGCGCACCCAGACAACGUGGCCUCGACUCACCCCAAGCGGCGCACCA
Hippocampus comes (tiger tail seahorse) is the source of this 835-nucleotide long non-coding RNA. RefSeq lists it as uncharacterized. The record is from RefSeq and is a predicted model, not a curated record. The transcript has 6 exons. NCBI's taxonomy places the organism in Eukaryota, Metazoa, Chordata, Actinopteri, Syngnathiformes, Syngnathidae.